This 364-nucleotide ribosomal RNA is filed under the name Ensifer meliloti. RNAcentral's name for it is "Sinorhizobium meliloti bacterial SSU rRNA". It matches the Rfam family "Bacterial small subunit ribosomal RNA", at positions 993 to 1356 of the family's 1533-position model. The record is from RNAcentral. Lineage: Bacteria; Pseudomonadati; Pseudomonadota; Alphaproteobacteria; Hyphomicrobiales; Rhizobiaceae.
GCGGAUACGAGAGAUCGUAUCCUUCAGUUCGGCUGGAUCGGAGACAGGUGCUGCAUGGCUGUCGUCAGCUCGUGUCGUGAGAUGUUGGGUUAAGUCCCGCAACGAGCGCAACCCUCGCCCUUAGUUGCCAGCAUUCAGUUGGGCACUCUAAGGGGACUGCCGGUGAUAAGCCGAGAGGAAGGUGGGGAUGACGUCAAGUCCUCAUGGCCCUUACGGGCUGGGCUACACACGUGCUACAAUGGUGGUGACAGUGGGCAGCGAGACCGCGAGGUCGAGCUAAUCUCCAAAAGCCAUCUCAGUUCGGAUUGCACUCUGCAACUCGAGUGCAUGAAGUUGGAAUCGCUAGUAAUCGCAGAUCAGCAUG